Molecule: ribosomal RNA, 892 nt
Filed under: Neodevriesia shakazului
Lineage: Eukaryota; Fungi; Ascomycota; Dothideomycetes; Mycosphaerellales; Neodevriesiaceae
Description: eukaryotic LSU rRNA
Rfam family: Eukaryotic large subunit ribosomal RNA
Source: RNAcentral
GCGGAGGAAAAGAAACCAACAGGGAUUGCCCUAGUAACGGCGAGUGAAGCGGCAACAGCUCAAAUUUGAAAUCUGGCGCAAGCCCGAAUUGUAAUUUGUAGAGGAUGCUUCUGGGCAGCGGCCGGUCUAAGUUCCUUGGAACAGGACGUCAUAGAGGGUGAGAAUCCCGUAUGUGACCGGCUGGCACCCUCCACGUAGCUCCUUCGACGAGUCGAGUUGUUUGGGAAUGCAGCUCUAAAUGGGAGGUAAAUUCCUUCUAAAGCUAAAUACCGGCCAGAGACCGAUAGCGCACAAGUAGAGUGAUCGAAAGAUGAAAAGCACUUUGGAAAGAGAGUUAAAAAGCACGUGAAAUUGUUGAAAGGGAAGCGCUUGCGACCAGACUUGUCGGCGGUGUUCCGCCGGUCUUCUGACCGGUUCACUCGCCGUCGGCAGGCCAGCAUCAUCUGGGGCCGCCGGAUAAAGGCUUGGGGAAUGUAGCUCCUCUCGGGGAGUGUUAUAGCCCCUCGCACAAUACGGCGCGCCCCGGGUGAGGUCCGCGUCUCGGCAAGGAUGCUGGCGUAAUGGUCGUAAGCGGCCCGUCUUGAAACACGGACCAAGGAGUCGAUUAUCUAUGCGAGUGUUCGGGCGUCAAACCCCUACGCGUAAUGAAAGUGAACGGAGGUGGGAACCUUUACCGGUGCACCAUCGACCGAUCCGGAUGUCUUCGGAUGGAUUUGAGUAAGAGCAUAGCUAAUCGGACCCGAAAGAUGGUGAACUAUGCCUGAAUAGGGUGAAGCCAGAGGAAACUCUGGUGGAGGCUCGCAGCGGUUCUGACGUGCAAAUCGAUCGUCAAAUUUGGGUAUAGGGGCGAAAGACUAAUCGAACCAUCUAGUAGCUGGUUCCUGCCGAAGUU